Molecule: ribosomal RNA, 470 nt
Filed under: uncultured Leptothrix sp.
Lineage: Bacteria; Pseudomonadati; Pseudomonadota; Betaproteobacteria; Burkholderiales; Sphaerotilaceae
Description: bacterial SSU rRNA
Rfam family: Bacterial small subunit ribosomal RNA
Source: RNAcentral
UUGCCUACGGGGGGCUGCAGUGGGGAAUUUUGGACAAUGGGCGCAAGCCUGAUCCAGCCAUGCCGCGUGCGGGAAGAAGGCCUUCGGGUUGUAAACCGCUUUUGUCAGGGAAGAAAAGGUUCUGGUUAAUACCUGGGACUCAUGACGGUACCUGAAGAAUAAGCACCGGCUAACUACGUGCCAGCAGCCGCGGUAAUACGUAGGGUGCAAGCGUUAAUCGGAAUUACUGGGCGUAAAGCGUGCGCAGGCGGUUAGGCAAGACAGAGGUGAAAUCCCCGGGCUCAACCUGGGAACUGCCUUUGUGACUGCAUAGCUAGAGUACGGUAGAGGGGGAUGGAAUUCCGCGUGUAGCAGUGAAAUGCGUAGAUAUGCGGAGGAACACCGAUGGCGAAGGCAAUCCCCUGGACCUGUACUGACGCUCAUGCACGAAAGCGUGGGGAGCAAACAGGAUUAGAUACCCUUGUAGUCGC